Molecule: ribosomal RNA, 382 nt
Filed under: Trichodrilus strandi
Lineage: Eukaryota; Metazoa; Annelida; Clitellata; Lumbriculida; Lumbriculidae
Description: partial 16S ribosomal RNA
Rfam family: Bacterial large subunit ribosomal RNA
Source: RNAcentral
UUAAACUUUAAAUGGCCGCGGUAUCCUGACCGUGCAAAGGUAGCAUAAUAAUUUGCCUGUUAAUUGCAGGCUAGUAUGAACGGGUGAACGAAAUAAUAGCUGUCUACAAAAAAAAAAAAAAAAAUUAUCCUUUAGAUGAAGAGAUCUAAAUAAAUUUGAAGGACAAGAAGACCCUAUAGAGCUUUACCGUUAUUAAAUCUUAUAUUUAUAUUGGUUCGAUUGGGGCGAUCAAGGAAAAAUCAUCCUUUACACACCAAGAUACAUAUAUCAUUUAAAUGACCCUAUAAAGAUCAAAAGAACAAGCUACCUUAGGGAUAACAGGCUAAUUCUUUAUAAGAGACCUUAUUAAAUAAAGAGUUUGGCACCUCGAUGUUGGCUUAGG